This 410-nucleotide ribosomal RNA is filed under the name uncultured bacterium. RNAcentral's name for it is "bacterial SSU rRNA". It matches the Rfam family "Bacterial small subunit ribosomal RNA", at positions 40 to 496 of the family's 1533-position model. The record is from RNAcentral.
CGGCACGCCUAAUACAUGCAAGUCGAACGCAGUAGCAAUACUGAGUGGCAAACGGGUGAGUAUAAUGUGGGUAUCUGCCUUUUGGUCUGGAAUAACACGGGGAAACUUGUGCUAAUACCGGAUAAGCCUUUACAGGGAAAGUUUUAAUGCCAAAAGAUGAGCCCGCACUUGAUUAGCUAGUUGGUAAGGUAAAAGCUUACCAAGGCAACGAUCAAUAGCUGUUCUUAGAGGAAGACCAGCCACAUUGGGACUGAGACACGGCCCAAACUCCUACGGGAGGCAGCAGUAGGGAAUCUUGCACAAUGGGGGAAACCCUGAUGCAGCGAUGCCGCGUGAGUGAAGAAGGCCCUUGGGUUGUAAAACUCUUUCGUCGGGGAAGAAAAUGACUGUACCCGAAUAAGAAGGUCCGG